Molecule: ribosomal RNA, 492 nt
Filed under: uncultured bacterium
Lineage: Bacteria
Description: partial 16S ribosomal RNA
Rfam family: Bacterial small subunit ribosomal RNA
Source: RNAcentral
AGUGAACGCUGGCGGUAGGCCUAACACAUGCAAGUCGAACGGCAGCACAGUAAGAGCUUGCUCUUACGGGUGGCGAGUGGCGGACGGGUGAGGAAUACAUCGGAAUCUACUUUUUCGUGGGGGAUAACGUAGGGAAACUUACGCUAAUACCGCAUACGACCUACGGGUGAAAGCAGGGGAUCUUCGGACCUUGCGCGAUUGAAUGAGCCGAUGUCGGAUUAGCUAGUUGGCGGGGUAAAGGCCCACCAAGGCGACGAUCCGUAGCUGGUCUGAGAGGAUGAUCAGCGACACUGGAACUGAGACACGGUCCAGACUCCUACGAGGAGCAGCAGUGGGGAAUAUUGGACAGUGGGCACAAGCCUGAUCCAGCCAUACCGCGUGGGUGAAGAAGGCCUUCGGGUUGUAAAGCCCUUUUGUUGGGAAAGAAAAGCAGCAGGUUAAUACCCCGCUGUUCUGACGGUACCCAAAGAAUAAGCACCGGCUAACUUCGUG